RNAcentral lists this ribosomal RNA (529 nucleotides) under uncultured bacterium. RNAcentral describes it as "bacterial SSU rRNA". It matches the Rfam family "Bacterial small subunit ribosomal RNA", at positions 355 to 897 of the family's 1533-position model. The record is from RNAcentral.
UGAGGAAUAUUGCACAAUGGGCGCAAGCCUGAUGCAGCGACGCCGCGUGGGUGAAGAAGGUUUUCGGAUCGUAAAACCCUUUUCUGUGUGACGAGUAAGGACGGUAGCACAGGAAUAAGUCUCGGCUAACUACGUGCCAGCAGCCGCGGUAAAACGUAGGAGACAAACGUUAUCCGGAGUUACUGGGCGUAAAGGGCGUGUAGGUGGUUGCGUAAGUCUGGCGUGAAAUAUCUCGGCUUAACCGAGGCAGGUCGUCGGAUACUGCGUAACUCGAGGACGGUAGAGGCGUGUGGAAUUCCGGGUGUAGUGGUGAAAUGCGUAGAGAUCCGGAGGAACACCAGUGGCGAAGGCGACACGCUGGGCCGUACCUGACACUGAUGCGCGACAGCAUGGGGAGCAAACAGGAUUAGAAACCCUGGUAGUCCAUGCCGUAAACGAUGCUAGCUGGGUGUUCAGGGGGGGAAACCCCUCGGGGUACCGAAGUCAACACGGUAAGCUAGCCGCCUGGGGAGUACGGUCGCAAGAUUAA